GACUAGGCAUAGUGGAGCCAAAUGCAAAAUUCAUUGCCAGGGAACCAAAUGCAUACGGAGUAAGCAGGUGAACGGUGAACUUGGCAUAUGAUCCAUGCUAUAAUUCUGGCUGGAAUUGGGUUUGGUCCAUGUAUAAUCAUCAGGGGCAUACCUUGGGCCUUUUGUUUUUUUUUUUUUUUUUGCAUGUCUUGGGCCCAUGCCAAGUUUGGGCCUAAGUUUUACUAUGUCGAUGGGGCUUGGACUUACAUCAACCAGACCUUUCGUCAGGCCUAGUUCCCAAGGAAAAUUGCUUUGAAGUUUCACAUCUGCUUCUAUUUUUGUCAAUGUUUUUGAAAUCAUUCCUUUUUCUUGUAGACUCCAUAAACUUUUUCUUUGAUCUAAACCCUUUUUCUUCUUCUUCCUAAUCUAGGAUGAUUCGGAAUGUACGGGUUGAGGCAACAAAAUUAGAUGACAUGUUUGCGCAAGUCCAAGAAACCCAAGAAUCUGUUAGACUUGCACUUUUAAACUGCUUCAUGGAUUUUGCAGGUUAUCCUGAGCAGAUAGGGAGUGGACUCUCUCAAAGUAAUUCAUAUAAAGAAAUCUCGAACUUACAAAAUGCUUUACCUCUCUCAACAAGCCAAAGAUCUCAGUUCUGUUGCUUGGUCAUGCAUCAUGACAUGCUCUGCGGCCUACGCCAUGCAUCAUGCAUGCUUAAACAAGGAGUGGAGCAUGGAGGAUUUUUUUAUUUAUUUUUCAUGUAUUCAGACCAUUGUAAACUUAUUGUUGUAAAUAUAUAUAAUUUUUAUUAUAAAGUUGUACAAUAAUUUUGGAGAAAA
Magnolia sinica is the source of this 815-nucleotide long non-coding RNA. RefSeq lists it as uncharacterized. NCBI's taxonomy places the organism in Eukaryota, Viridiplantae, Streptophyta, Magnoliopsida, Magnoliales, Magnoliaceae. The transcript is spliced from 2 exons. The record is from RefSeq and is a predicted model, not a curated record.